AGUUAGUAAUAAGAUUAAGAGUUCUUUGAGAGGUUAAGUGUUAGUCUUGCUUCCUAGGAGCUCUGUACGAGCAAUACAACCAUGCUCGUAUAUCUCCGAAGUUUCAUAUCCAAAUUCCAACAAAGCAUACUCCAAAACAGUCCUAAUCUUCAAAUUCUGAGGAUUAAGGAAUGCAAUCAUUUUCAAGGCUUUGGUGUAAAUGAUGAAGAGACGGGGAAGAACGUGGUUGCUCUGUAUCGCACUGAUGUGUACAAUGGUUCUCUUCGAAGCUUGGCUUUGGUCGAUUGCCCAGUUCUUAAGUUUUUUCCAGAUUUACGAGGAUGGACUUCUUCUCUUCAGACACUAAUCAUCUUCAAAUGCCCACAAGUGAAGGAGUCUUUAACCUAUGAUCUCAAAUCCAUCUCAUUUCUUAAAGUUCUUCAAGUUAAUUUUAUUCAAAGACACGAGGAGAUCCAUCUGCCAUAGAAGACUUGAUGAAUUUGAUGAAGUAUUAGGUACGUGCAAUUGGAACCCUAUCUGAAAUCCAUUACUGUAUGCUGAAUUUAUUCAAGGAGACAGAAGGGUGGAGAAGAUCGAUCUAUUAAAUAAGACUUGAUUAAUUUGGUUUUUUUGUGCAUCUGAAUGAAUAGAAUGGAAGCAGCAGAGAUGAUGAUAAAGCAGGGCCCAUUAUCUUGUCAGAUAUCGUACUUAGCUCAACAUUUCAUAUUUGUGAGUAGACUUUCUGCAGUUGGAAAAGAUUUGCUUUGUCCUGGAACAUUUAGUUCUGUUGCAGACGAUGGAACAAUUAGAGCAUCAGGCAGAGUACAGUUAUGAGGUCAUCCUUUGCUUCUCUAUUGUGGAACUUGGAGUACGAGUUGAGAAAGCCACUGCACCAAUUGACAUUGCAAGUGAAUAAUUCUACUGGAAAGCACAGACUGGACUGAUGAUGGUACACUAGCCCACUCCUUUAAGACUUCAUUAACAGUUAGAGAAAUUAGGGCCUGAGGUGCUUUCAGAGUGUUCUUUUUGGCUGCUCUGUUUUAAAAUUACAACGUAUGUCAUGUGUUAUAUGGAUGCUGCUAUAGUAAUCUGCUUGACUCUCUUAUAGAAUGAAUGUCAUGGUUUCCGAAAAAGUGUAGUUGCCUACAAAUUCCCAACUGUAAUGGUAGUGCACAAUGAAAUACGAAAUAGAAACCCUUU
Long non-coding RNA from Papaver somniferum (opium poppy), 1179 nucleotides. RefSeq lists it as uncharacterized. The transcript is spliced from 3 exons. Lineage: Eukaryota; Viridiplantae; Streptophyta; Magnoliopsida; Ranunculales; Papaveraceae. The record is from RefSeq and is a predicted model, not a curated record.